This 75-nucleotide transfer RNA is filed under the name Thermomicrobiales bacterium. Its description in RNAcentral is "tRNA-His". It matches the Rfam family "tRNA". From Rfam's summary of the family: Transfer RNA (tRNA) molecules are approximately 80 nucleotides in length. Their secondary structure includes four short double-helical elements and three loops (D, anti-codon, and T loops). Further hydrogen bonds mediate the characteristic L-shaped molecular structure. tRNAs have two regions of fundamental functional importance: the anti-codon, which is responsible for specific mRNA codon recognition, and the 3' end, to which the tRNAs corresponding amino acid is attached (by aminoacyl-tRNA synthetases). tRNAs cope with the degeneracy of the genetic code in two manners: having more than one tRNA (with a specific anti-codon) for a particular amino acid; and 'wobble' base-pairing, i.e. permitting non-standard base-pairing at the 3rd anti-codon position. The record is from RNAcentral. Lineage: Bacteria; Pseudomonadati; Thermomicrobiota; Thermomicrobia; Thermomicrobiales.
GUACCUAUAGCUCAACGGCAGAGCGCUUGUCUGUGGAACAAGAGGUUCCGGGUUCGAAACCCGGUAGGUACCCCA